UCUUGGUGCAAUUACUCUUUAAAAAAAAAAUAUAUAUAUAUUAUGUUAUAUAAUUGAGAAAAGUCUCAAUACAACAUGCAACGAAACAAAAUUGCAAAAUUGAAACAAAAUUCAGCAGAAUUCGCAUACUGAAGGUUGACAUAGUGUGAAGAAGGGGAAAAGCCUGAAGAACUGCUGGCCAAAACAAGACAACACAAUCCUAUCUGCCCUGUUUAAACGAGGUCCUGGGCUCAUCUGACUGGGGGUCAAUACUGAGGCCCUGUCUGAGUCUUUAUAAAGAGGUCUGAGUCUCUCAAAAGAGGUCCAGUCUUGGUCUGAGUCUCUCCUGUCUUGGUCUGUGUCUUUAUAAAGAGGUCCAGUCUUGGUCUUGGUCUGAGUCUUUAUAACGAGGUCUGAGUCUCUCCUGCCUUGGUCUGAGUCUUUAUAAAGAGGACCAGUCUUGGUCUGUGUCUUUAUAAAGUGGUCCGGUCUUGGUCUGAGUCUUUAUAAAGAGGUCCAGUCUUGGUCUGAGUCUUUAAAAAGAGGUCUGAGUCUCUCCGGUCUUGGUCUGAGUCUUUAUAAAGAGGUCCAGUCUUGGUCUGAGUCUUUAAAAAGAGGUCUUGGUCUGAGUCUUUAUAAAGAGGUCCAGUCUUGGUCUUGGUCAGAGUCUGAGUCAGUAUUAGAGUGUUGCGGGUCUUGACUCCAUCGCUGCAGUAUACCGGACCAAUAGGGGGCGCUGUCUCUCCGGUGUGUCGUCUGGUGUUUCGUAAGAGCUCUUUUCUCUGAGAAACACUUGCCACAGUCAGGGCAUUGGUACGGCUUUGCUCGAGGGCUCCGGUCUUGACUCAAUCUCUGUUUUUUACCAGGCAAAGAGAAAGCAGAGUUGUGUGCCCCUGACCCGUGUGUGUUGCUGUGUGUUUCUGUUCCGUGUGUGUU
Molecule: long non-coding RNA, 915 nt
Organism: Oncorhynchus tshawytscha (Chinook salmon)
Lineage: Eukaryota; Metazoa; Chordata; Actinopteri; Salmoniformes; Salmonidae
Source: Ensembl